Diachasma alloeum is the source of this 378-nucleotide long non-coding RNA. RefSeq lists it as uncharacterized. The record is from RefSeq and is a predicted model, not a curated record. The transcript is spliced from 4 exons. Lineage: Eukaryota; Metazoa; Arthropoda; Insecta; Hymenoptera; Braconidae.
UUGAGAACCAGCUCCAAUGUUUCUUCCGUCAAAAAAUUCUCUCGAUCUAGUUCAACUCUUCAGAAAAAUGGAUGGAAUUACAAUAACCGAGCACGCAACGAGGCCAUUAGAAUGUACUUGCAAAUUAACCUCCAGGACCCAUUUCAUGUUGAUGGAUUGAACCUUUCCACUUAUUUACGCCUAAAGAAAGAGAAGUAUUUCAUCGAGGAAUUCAUCCGAGCCCUAGUUGACGAAGGUCUAGUGGCCAACACCGAUGAGGAAAUGGAAUUUUUCUGGCGAUAUGUGGAUGGAAUUGACUAUGAACGCAUCGAUGCGACAGGGCCCAUCUGAAGGAUUCAUCUUCCCCCUCACUUAAUGAAUCCUCAUUAACCGAAUGGC